RNAcentral lists this ribosomal RNA (232 nucleotides) under uncultured bacterium. RNAcentral describes it as "partial 16S ribosomal RNA". It matches the Rfam family "Bacterial small subunit ribosomal RNA", at positions 99 to 334 of the family's 1533-position model. The record is from RNAcentral.
CGGACGGGUGAGUAAUGUAUGGGGAUCUGCCUGAUGGCGGGGGGUAACUACUGGAAACGGUAGCUAAUACCGCAUAAUGUCUACGGACCAAAGCGGGGGACCUCCGGGCCUCGCGCCAUCAGAUGAACCCAUAUGGGAUUAGCUUGUAGGUAAGGUAACGGCUUACCUAGGCGACGAUCCCUAGCUGGUCUGAGAGGAUGAUCAGCCACACUGGGACUGAGACACGGUCCAG